Molecule: ribosomal RNA, 497 nt
Filed under: uncultured bacterium
Lineage: Bacteria
Description: partial 16S ribosomal RNA
Rfam family: Bacterial small subunit ribosomal RNA
Source: RNAcentral
GACGAACGCUGGCGGCGUGCCUAAUACAUGCAAGUAGAACGCUGAAGAGAGGAGCUUGCUCUUCUUGGAUGAGUUGCGAACGGGUGAGUAACGCGUAGGUAACCUGCCUUGUAGCGGGGGAUAACUAUUGGAAACGAUAGCUAAUACCGCAUAACAAUGGAUGACACAUGUCAUUUAUUUGAAAGGGGCAAUUGCUCCACUACAAGAUGGACCUGCGUUGUAUUAGCUAGUAGGUGAGGUAAUGGCUCACCUAGGCGACGAUACAUAGCCGACCUGAGAGGGUGAUCGGCCACACUGGGACUGAGACACGGCCCAGACUCCUACGGGAGGCAGCAGUAGGGAAUCUUCGGCAAUAGGGGCAACCCUGACCGAGCAACGCCGCGUGAGUGAAGAAGGUUUUCGGAUCGGAAAGCUCUGUUGUAAGUCAAGAACGGGUGUGAGAGUGGAAAGUUCACACUGUGACGGUAGCUUACCAGAAAGGGACGGCUAACUACGUG